UUAAGCAUAUCAAUAAGCGGAGGAAAAGAAACCAACAGGGAUUACCUCAGUAACGGCGAGUGAAGCGGUAACAGCUCAAAUUUGAAAUCUGGGUCUUUCAGGCUCCGAGUUGUAAUUUGUAGAAGAUGCUUCGGGUGCGGCUCCGGUCUAAGUUCCUUGGAACAGGACGUCAUAGAGGGUGAGAAUCCCGUAUGUGAUCGGUUGCUUGCGCCCAUGUGAAGCUCUUUCGACGAGUCGAGUUGUUUGGGAAUGCAGCUCCAAAUGGGUGGUAUAUUUCAUCUAAAGCUAAAUAUUGGCCAGAGACCGAUAGCGCACAAGUAGAGUGAUCGAAAGAUGAAAAGCACUUUGGAAAGAGAGUUAAACAGUACGUGAAAUUGUUGAAAGGGAAGCGCUUGCAACCAGACUUGCGUGUCGUCGAUCAUCCGGGGUUCUCCCCGGUGCACUCGGCUUCACUCAGGCCAGCAUCGGUUUCGGUGGUUGGAUAAAGGCCUUGGGAAUGUAGCUCCUCUCGGGGAGUGUUAUAGCCCUCGGUGCAAUGCAGCCUACCGGGACCGAGGACCGCGCUUCGGCUAGGAUGCUGGCGUAAUGGUUGUAAGCGACCCGUCUUGAAACACGGACCAAGGAGUCUAACAUCUAUGCGAGUGUUUGGGUGUCAAACCCAUACGCGUAAUGAAAGUGAACGGAGGUGAGAACCCUUAAGGGUGCAUCAUCGACCGAUCCUGAUGUCUUCGGAUGGAUUUGAGUAAGAGCAUAGCUGUUGGGACCCGAAAGAUGGUGAACUAUGCCUGAAUAGGGUGAAGCCAGAGGAAACUCUGGUGGAGGCUCGCAGCGGUUCUGACGUGCAAAUCGAUCGUCAAAUUUGGGUAUAGGGGCGAAAGACUAAUCGAACCAUCUAGUAGCUGGUCUG
Molecule: ribosomal RNA, 907 nt
Filed under: Neofabraea sp.
Lineage: Eukaryota; Fungi; Ascomycota; Leotiomycetes; Helotiales; Dermateaceae
Description: partial large subunit ribosomal RNA
Rfam family: Eukaryotic large subunit ribosomal RNA
Source: RNAcentral